GUUAGGAAUAUUGGACAAUGGGCGCAAGCCUGAUCCAGCCAUGCUGCGUGCAGGAAGACGCAUCUAUGGUGUGUAAACUGCUUUUGUACGGGAAGAAACACUCCCUCGUGAGGGAGCUUGACGGUACCGUAAGAAUAAGGAUCGGCUAACUCCGUGCCAGCAGCCGCGGUAAUACGGAGGAUACAAGCGUUAUCCGGAAUCAUUGGGUUUAAAGGGUCCGUAGGCGGUUUAAUAAGUCAGUGGUGAAAGACCAUCGCUCAACGAUGGAACGGCCAUUGAUACUGUUAGACUUGAAUUACAAGGAAGUAACUAGAAUAUGUAGUGUAGCGGUGAAAUGCUUAGAUAUUACAUGGAAUACCAAUUGCGAAGGCAGGUUACUACUUGUGGAUUGACGCUGAUGGACGAAAGCGUGGGGAGCGAACAGGAUUAGAAACCCCUGUAGUCC
This 445-nucleotide ribosomal RNA is filed under the name uncultured bacterium. RNAcentral describes it as "partial 16S ribosomal RNA". It matches the Rfam family "Bacterial small subunit ribosomal RNA", at positions 354 to 796 of the family's 1533-position model. The record is from RNAcentral.